ACGCACGCUGGCGGCGUGCUUAACACAUGCAAGUCGAACGGAAAGGCCCUGCUUUUGUGGGGUGCUCGAGUGGCGAACGGGUGAGUAACACGUGAGUAACCUGCCCUUGACUUUGGGAUAACUUCAGGAAACUGGGGCUAAUACCGGAUAGGAGCUCCUGCUUCAUGGUGGGGGUUGGAAAGUUUCGGCGGUUGGGGAUGGACUCGCGGCUUAUCAGCUUGUUGGUGGGGUAGUGGCUUACCAAGGCUUUGACGGGUAGCCGGCCUGAGAGGGUGACCGGCCACAUUGGGACUGAGAUACGGCCCAGACUCCUACGGGAGGCAGCAGUGGGGAAUAUUGCACAAUGGGCGGAAGCCUGAUGCAGCAACGCCGCGUGCGGGAUGACGGCCUUCGGGUUGUAAACCGCUUUCGCCUGUGACGAAGCGUGAGUGACGGUAAUGGGUAAAGAAGCACCGGCUAACUACGUG
This 467-nucleotide ribosomal RNA is filed under the name uncultured bacterium. RNAcentral describes it as "partial 16S ribosomal RNA". It matches the Rfam family "Bacterial small subunit ribosomal RNA", at positions 29 to 507 of the family's 1533-position model. The record is from RNAcentral.